CCUACGGGUGGCAGCAGUGAGGAAUAUUGGUCAAUGGACGAGAGUCUGAACCAGCCAAGUAGCGUGAAGGAUGACUGCCCUAUGGGUUGUAAACUUCUUUUAUAUGGGAAUAAAAUGUUCCACGUGUGGGAUUUUGUAUGUACCAUAUGAAUAAGGAUCGGCUAACUCCGUGCCAGCAGCCGCGGUAAUACGGAGGAUCCGAGCGUUAGCCGGAUUUAUUGGGUUGAAAGGGAGCGUAGGUGGAUUGUUAAGUCAGUUGUGAAAGUUUGCGGCUCAACCGUAAAAUUGCAGUUGAAACUGGCAGUCUUGAGUACAGUAGAGGUGGGCGGAAUUCGUGGUGUAGCGGUGAAAUGCUUAGAUAUCACGAAGAACUCCGAUUGCGAAGGCAGUUCACUGGACUGCAACUGACACUGAGGCUCGAAAGUGUGGGUAUCAAACAGGAUUAGAUACCCGGGUAGUC
Molecule: ribosomal RNA, 460 nt
Filed under: uncultured bacterium
Lineage: Bacteria
Description: partial 16S ribosomal RNA
Rfam family: Bacterial small subunit ribosomal RNA
Source: RNAcentral